RNAcentral lists this ribosomal RNA (644 nucleotides) under uncultured bacterium. Its description in RNAcentral is "bacterial SSU rRNA". It matches the Rfam family "Bacterial small subunit ribosomal RNA", at positions 62 to 701 of the family's 1533-position model. The record is from RNAcentral.
UCGAGGGGCAGCACAGGUAGCAAUACUGGGUGGCGACCGGCGCACGGGUGCGUAACACGUAUAUAAUCUGCCCUUAUCUGGGAAAUAGCCCGGAGAAAUUCGGAUUAAUGUCCCAUAACAUUGAGAUGUGGCAUCACAUUACAAUUAAAGCUCAGGCGGAUAAGGAUGAAUAUGCGACUGAUUAGUUAGUUGGUGAGGUAACGGCUCACCAAGACAACGAUCAGUAGGGGUACUGAGAGGUUAAACUCCCACACUGGUACUGAGACACGGACCAGACUCCUACGGGAGGCAGCAGUAAGGAAUAUUGGACAAUGGAGGCAACUCUGAUCCAGCCAUGCCGCGUGCAGGAAGAAGGCGCUACGCGUUGUAAACUGCUUUUAUAACAGAGAAAACCUAUGUACGUGUACGUAGUUGAUAGUAUGUUAAGAAUAAGCAUCGGCUAACUUCGUGCCAGCAGCCGCGGUAAUACGAAGGAUGCAAGCGUUAUCCGGAUUUAUUGGGUUUAAAGGGUGCGUAGGCGGUCUUAUAAGUCAGUGGUGAAAUCCUAUCGCUUAACGAUAGACGUGCCAUUGAUACUGUAGGACUUGAGUACAGAUGCCGUUGGCGGAAUGUGUCAUGUAGCGGUGAAAUGCAUAGAUAUGACA